RNAcentral lists this long non-coding RNA (1157 nucleotides) under Dasypus novemcinctus (nine-banded armadillo). Its description in RNAcentral is "lncRNA (ENSDNOG00000050477.1)". The record is from RNAcentral. Lineage: Eukaryota; Metazoa; Chordata; Mammalia; Cingulata; Dasypodidae.
CGCGCUGCACCAUUUGCAGGCCCCGGAUGCAAAAGGAAACUGCGGGCCCUUUGUUUAAAAAUCAUGAAGAACGUCAAGCAGAGAGGGCAGAACCCAACACCUCCCUGCCCCGACUCCUCCCCGGGGCGCCCUGGGCCAGCCACGGCCCGCCUCAGGGCCUUUGCACGGGCUACUCCCAUCCUCCAGCCCCCAUACCCUUUUGGCUCCCGUGGUCACCUUCUCCAGGUGUGUGAGGCCCUCCCUGGCUCCAGCGGUUGAGCACCCGCCUCCCACACGGGAGGCCCCCAGUUCGGUUCCUGGUGCCCUCUGGGAAAAAAAAAAAAGCCAACAGCAAAACAAACGAUUAAAAAGAUACCACCUCAGGGCAGACCAAGCCCCCCCCCCACCCCUGGCACCGCAUGCACACACAAUGCUAGCUGCCCCCUCCCCACCCUGGGCACCCCCCCCCCGCCCCCGCCACCUCCAGCCCACCCCUGUCCCUGCCCGCAAGUUCCAGGCGCCCCCCACCCACCCGGCCCCUCUCGCCAAAGGGGGAAGGGGGCCAAGGGGAGCCGGCUUGGCUGGGACAAGUUGGGUGGGGGCCGGCGGCCCAGGGACCCCCCCUCCCCCAAUAAAGAUGAGGGUACUAAAGAUGUGUUGGUUUUGAUUAAUUUUUCUUCUUCUCUUUCCAGUACGCUAGCUUGUCUUUUAAGAGAGAGGGGAUAUUGGGAAAAAAAUAAAAAAUAAGAAAGAGAAAUGUUUAAAAAACACACCACACACCCACACGCGUGUCUGUAUAUAGCUUUUUAGACUGUCAGCUCUCUUUGUGCUCAGUUGUUUGAUCUCUCCGGAGAGAUGUGGAAAUGCUGUAUCGAGGGCGGGCUUAGCUGUGCCUUUCAAAUAAAGACGUGAGAAGGUUGGCUGCUGUGUGUCUUGCUCUGUGUCGCGGGCUGCCCACCCCGGGGGGAGAAGGGGGCUCUCUUCAGGUCGGCAGGGAGAAGGGGGUCGCGGCAGAGUCACGCCAGGUGUGGGGUCCGGUUCCCGGACUCGAUGCCUAAGCUCAGAGAGGGACAGCUGGAAGCCUGGGGUCACACAGCACAGCCUGCAGGAUUUGAGACUUUCGCCAGCGCUGGUGCCCAAGGGCCCCGGAAUUUCGGUUAUUUUGCCAUCAAGACCGU